UGACAAAGUUGGUUUUAUGAUCUCAAAAUCAGACCGUUCAGACAUGACUGAGGUGCUGCAAAAGAGAUCUCCAUCAGACGUGAACGUAGUCAGUUCGAUGAUCACAGCCCAGGUCUUUUCAUCAAGCCAGUUGCUCUCCUGCAGCAAAUCCAGCCUUGUUGUUGAAUUACGUCUUCCUUCUUCAGGGAAAAAGUAAAACGUGUAUCCUCCUGGUCCGUAUGUGUGCAGAUCUCCGUAUGAGAAGUAAGUCCAGGGAGCCCUGUUUGGUUGGCAAACCGAUGAUUUUGGAUGAGCUGUCGGUAAGAAAAGUUGGCUGAACGUCGUUGUGGAUCAAAGGCAAGAAGGUGUCGUUCACCCACGUGUAAAUAUCUGCCAGCUUAACCACAGCAGGGAGUCUGGGAGAGAACUGGUUCCGAAUAAAUUGGUUGUAGUGGAAA
Molecule: long non-coding RNA, 437 nt
Organism: Tympanuchus pallidicinctus (lesser prairie-chicken)
Lineage: Eukaryota; Metazoa; Chordata; Aves; Galliformes; Phasianidae
Exons: 3
Source: RefSeq, a predicted model, not a curated record